RNAcentral lists this ribosomal RNA (253 nucleotides) under uncultured bacterium. RNAcentral's name for it is "partial 16S ribosomal RNA". It matches the Rfam family "Bacterial small subunit ribosomal RNA", at positions 524 to 776 of the family's 1533-position model. The record is from RNAcentral.
UACGUAGGGGGCAAGCGUUAUCCGGAUUUACUGGGUGUAAUGGGAGCGUAGACGGCAAUGCAAGUCUGGAGUGAAAGGCGGGGGCCCAACCCCCGGACUGCUCUGGAAACUGUAUAGCUGGAGUGCAGGAGAGGUAAGUGGAAUUCCUAGUGUAGCGGUGAAAUGCGUAGAUAUUAGGAGGAACACCAGUGGCGAAGGCGGCUUACUGGACUGUAACUGACGUUGAGGCUCGAAAGCGUGGGGAGCAAACAGG